Molecule: ribosomal RNA, 628 nt
Filed under: Klebsiella aerogenes
Lineage: Bacteria; Pseudomonadati; Pseudomonadota; Gammaproteobacteria; Enterobacterales; Enterobacteriaceae
Description: bacterial SSU rRNA
Rfam family: Bacterial small subunit ribosomal RNA
Source: RNAcentral
UCUGGGCGUAAGCGCACGCAGGCGGUCUGUCAAGUCGGAUGUGAAAUCCCCGGGCUCAACCUGGGAACUGCAUUCGAAACUGGCAGGCUAGAGUCUUGUAGAGGGGGGUAGAAUUCCAGGUGUAGCGGUGAAAUGCGUAGAGAUCUGGAGGAAUACCGGUGGCGAAGGCGGCCCCCUGGACAAAGACUGACGCUCAGGUGCGAAAGCGUGGGGAGCAAACAGGAUUAGAUACCCUGGUAGUCCACGCCGUAAACGAUGUCGACUUGGAGGUUGUGCCCUUGAGGCGUGGCUUCCGGAGCUAACGCGUUAAGUCGACCGCCUGGGGAGUACGGCCGCAAGGUUAAAACUCAAAUGAAUUGACGGGGGCCCGCACAAGCGGUGGAGCAUGUGGUUUAAUUCGAUGCAACGCGAAGAACCUUACCUACUCUUGACAUCCAGAGAACUUAGCAGAGAUGCUUUGGUGCCUUCGGGAACUCUGAGACAGGUGCUGCAUGGCUGUCGUCAGCUCGUGUUGUGAAAUGUUGGGUUAAGUCCCGCAACGAGCGCAACCCUUAUCCUUUGUUGCCAGCGGUCCGGCCGGGAACUCAAAGGAGACUGCCAGUGAUAAACUGGAGGAAGGUGGGGAUGA